ACUCAAAGGAAUAGACGGGGGCCCGCACAAGCGGUGGAGCAUGUGGUUUAAUUCGAUGCAACGCGAAGAACCUUACCUACCCUUGACAUGCCAGGAAUUCUGCAGAGAUGCGGAAGUGCCGAAAGGAACCUGGACACAGGUGCUGCAUGGCUGUCGUCAGCUCGUGUUGUGAGAUGUUGGGUUAAGUCCCGUAACGAGCGCAACCCUUAUCUUUAGUUGCCAACAUGUAAUGGUGGGGACUCUAAAGAGACUGCUGGUGAAGAACCGGAGGAAGGCGGGGACGAGGUCAAGUCAUCAUGGCCCUUAUGGGUAGGGCUACACACGUGCUACAAUGGGCAGUACAGAGGGACGCCAACCCGCGAGGGGGAGCCAAUCCCAGAAAGCUGUUCGUAGUCCGGAUCGGAGUCUGGAACUCGACUCCGUGAAGUCGGAAUCGCUAGUAAUCGCGAAUCAGAAUGUCGCGGUGAAUACGUUCCCGGGCCUUGUACACACCGCCCGU
Molecule: ribosomal RNA, 499 nt
Filed under: uncultured bacterium
Lineage: Bacteria
Description: partial 16S ribosomal RNA
Rfam family: Bacterial small subunit ribosomal RNA
Source: RNAcentral